GACCGUGGAGGGGACAUGGAGAGGGGUGGAGCAGCAGCCGCAUUGGCAGAGCAGGCUUGUACCAGUGAUGUGCAGGUGCACUGGGAGCGGGCCAGAAUUCUGAAGCCGGUCUUGAAGCCAUCGCGGGCUUUGUUGCAAGAAACGAUCGAGAUUUUGCGAAGGAAUGGUGGGCGGCGACUGUUGAAUGAUGGGCCCUCAAUUGAACUGCCGGCAGCUUGGAGCUGCUUAUUGAAGCGGCGGAGGUGCCUAUGGUGCAGUCGCCGGUUUGUGGGACAGAGAGGAGGGUGUUCUCGGACGUUUG
This 301-nucleotide long non-coding RNA is filed under the name Androctonus crassicauda. The record is from RNAcentral. Lineage: Eukaryota; Metazoa; Arthropoda; Arachnida; Scorpiones; Buthidae.